UCCGGUUUGUCACCGGCAGUCUUCUUAGAGUUCCCACCAUAACGUGCUGGUAACUAAGAACAAGGGUUGCGCUCGUUACGGGACUUAACCCAACAUCUCACGACACGAGCUGACGACAGCCAUGCAGCACCUGUCUCUGUGUUCCUUGCGGCACUCCUACCUCUCGGUAAGAUUCACAGGAUGUCAAGGGUAGGUAAGGUUCUUCGCGUUGCAUCGAAUUAAACCACAUGCUCCACCGCUUGUGCGGGCCCCCGUCAAUUUCUUUGAGUUUUAACCUUGCGGCCGUACUCCCCAGGCGGAGAACUUAGCGCGUUAGCUACGAUACUAAGAAGCUAUGCUUCCCAACAUCUAGUUCUCAUCGUUUACAGCGUGGACUAC
RNAcentral lists this unclassified non-coding RNA (378 nucleotides) under uncultured Gammaproteobacteria bacterium. Its description in RNAcentral is "contains 16S-23S intergenic spacer region". Lineage: Bacteria; Pseudomonadati; Pseudomonadota; Gammaproteobacteria. The record is from RNAcentral.